This 346-nucleotide unclassified non-coding RNA is filed under the name soil metagenome. Its description in RNAcentral is "partial contains 5.8S ribosomal RNA, internal transcribed spacer 2, and large subunit ribosomal RNA". The stretch from base 5 to 119 matches the Rfam family "5.8S ribosomal RNA", at positions 40 to 154 of the family's 154-position model. The record is from RNAcentral.
GAUGAGAAUGUAGUGAAAUGCGAUAAUUAAUGUGAAUUGCAGAAUUCAGUGAAUCAUCGAGUCUUUGAACGCACAUUGCGCCCCCUGGUAUUCCGGGGGGCAUGCCUGUCCGAGCGUCAUUGCUGCCCUCAAGCACGGCUUGUGUGUUGGGCUUCCGUCCCUGGCAACGGGGACGGGCCCAAAAGGCAGUGGCGGCACCAUGUCUGGUCCUCGAGCGUAUGGGGCUUUGUCACCCGCUCCCGUAGGUCCAGCUGGCAGCUAGCCUCGCAACCAAUCUUUUUAACCAGGUUGACCUCGGAUCAGGUAGGGAUACCCGCUGAACUUAAGCAUAUCAAUAAGCGGAGGA